Small nucleolar RNA from Malania oleifera, 108 nucleotides. The record is from RefSeq and is a predicted model, not a curated record. NCBI's taxonomy places the organism in Eukaryota, Viridiplantae, Streptophyta, Magnoliopsida, Santalales, Ximeniaceae.
AAUCCGUGAUGUGGACAUAUAUUCAUCAAAUCCUUGAACCUCUCCCAACAAGCCUAGAAGGUCUUAUCACCUUUCUGCAUAAAUUAACUUACCCGCUCCUGCAAGUAU